GACGAACGCUGGCGGCGUGCCUAAUACAUGCAAGUAGAACGCACAGUUUAUACCGUAGCUUGCUACACCAUAGACUGUGAGUUGCGAACGGGUGAGUAACGCGUAGGUAACCUGCCUGGUAGCGGGGGAUAACUAUUGGAAACGAUAGCUAAUACCGCAUAAUAUUGAUUAUUGCAUGAUAAUUGAUUGAAAGAUGCUAUUGCAUCACUACCAGAUGGACCUGCGUUGUAUUAGCUAGUAGGUGAGGUAACGGCUCACCUAGGCGACGAUACAUAGCCGACCUGAGAGGGUGAUCGGCCACACUGGGACUGAGACACGGCCCAGACUCCUACGGGAGGCAGCAGUAGGGAAUCUUCGGCAAUGGACGAAAGGCUGACCGAGCAACGCCGCGUGAGUGAAGAAGGUUUUCGGAUCGUAAAGCUCUGUUGUAAGAGAAGAACGGGUGUGAGAGUGGAAAGUUCACACUGUGACGGUAUCUUACCAGAAAGGGACGGCUAACUACGUG
Molecule: ribosomal RNA, 505 nt
Filed under: uncultured bacterium
Lineage: Bacteria
Description: partial 16S ribosomal RNA
Rfam family: Bacterial small subunit ribosomal RNA
Source: RNAcentral